RNAcentral lists this long non-coding RNA (2311 nucleotides) under Homo sapiens (human). RNAcentral describes it as "HSALNT0148850". The record is from RNAcentral. Lineage: Eukaryota; Metazoa; Chordata; Mammalia; Primates; Hominidae.
CACCGCGGGGCGCCCGCAGACCGCUGCUCCAGCCCGGGACCCGCGCGGUGCCCGCGGCCCGGGUCUCCGAGCUGGAGGGUCGCCCCGAGAGCAGCUCUCCGACCUCCGAUUGGACUCUUGAGGGAACCGAGACCCAGUCGGGGCGACAACUUGCCCGAGGUCGCUAUGGCAGAGUCAGGAUUGGAUAACCGUACGGUCUCCGGAUCCAAGGCUGGCUCCAGAUAGUAUGCCCGUAAAUCCUCCCAGAAGGAUGCGCUAUUUUAUUUAAUUUUAUUUUGCAUUCAGUAGUUUUCAAAGUUUUAUUUUAUAAAGAGAAUAUAUGGUUUAAAAUGUAGAUUUUACAUAUACAUCUAAGGAUGAAAAGAGGGUUACCCUACCACCUUGUAUCCCCAUCCUCCAACUCGGCUUCCAGAGGCCACUCUUGCUAUCGGGUUUUUGUAUAUCUUUUCAGAAAUUUUCUCUAUGCCUAUAAAAGUACAUGUGCCUAAAAAAGCCCCUUCCUUUAAAACACACACACUCUGUUUCUCUCUCACACACACAGAGUAGCGUGCCAUACACAUUAGUCUGCACUUGGUUUUUGCACUUACAGUGUUUCACAGUUUCCCCACCUCUUGUCAUCUGUGAAACUGGGUUUCUUAUACAAUCAAUGGGAGCAUAGUUCAUUGGCUCUGUGAGUGUGUUUCUUAAUGCUGCAUAAAGUCAUGGUACAUCUCCGUCCACAGUGACUUUGUUGUGAUGAGAUAUGGUGAUAUAUUUUGGAGUUCAUACAGAGUGGCCUUUCCACAGGGUUUAGUUGCAGUUAUUUAACCACUUAUUUUCCAUCCUUUGGUUAAUACGAAUAAUGCUUUGAUGAAGUCUUGGUGCACAAGGGUCUGUGAAAAGUCAUUAAACAUGCAUGCACAGAAAUUUGUUAAACAUGCAUGUGUGCACACACGCAUCUCAACUGGGUGUGUAUGUCACUCUUCAGAUUGACCCUCAUUGUAUUUAUCCUUUAAAAUAAAAAUUUAAUUGACACAUUGUAAUUCUACAUAUUUACGGAACACAAUUUGAUUCCCCCUUAGAACUGCUUUUGCUGUGUCCCAUUGGUUUUGAUACAAUGUGUUUCCACUCUUAUUUUUCCUCAAUAAAUUUUAAAAUUCCCUCUUUAAUUUCUUCAUUGACCUAGUGGUUAUUUGGGAGCAUGUUGUUUAAUUUCCAUACAUUUGUACUUCUGUUGUAGUGUUCCUUCUGUUAUUGAUUUCUAGUUUUUAUACCAUUGUGGUCAAUAAAAAAAUUCUUGAAAUGAUUUCAGCAUCUUGCAUUUGUUAAGACCUAUUCUGUGGCCUAAUACAUGAUCUAUCCUGGAGAAUGUUCCAUGUGCAGUUGAGAAGAAUGUGUAUUCUGCAGUGCUGGGUGGAAUGUUCUGUACGUCUGUUAAGUCCAUUUGGACUAUGAGCAGUUUAAGUCUGCUGUUUCUUGUUUUUUGUUUGUUUGUUGUUGUUUUUUGUUUGUUUGUUUUAUAGAGACAGGGCAUGUGCCACCGAGAUCAACUAACUUUUAAAAAUUUUUAUAGAGAAGGAGUCUUGCUAUGUUGCCCAGGCUAAUCUUGAACUCCUGGCCUCAAGUGAUCCUCCUGCAUUGGACUGCCAAAGCAUUGGGAUUAUAGGCAUAAGCCACCAUGCCUGGCCUAAGUCUAAUGUUUCUUUCAUGAUUUGCUGUCUAGAUGAUCUGUCCGUUGUUGAAAGGGGGAUGCUGAAGUACCCUACUGUUAUUGUAUUAACAAUCUGUCUCUCCUUUUAGAGCUAAUAAUAUUCAUUUAUGUUAGGGUGCUUCAUGAUAUAGUAUUCAUAAUAUUAUAUAUUCAUCAUAUAUUAGGGUGCUUCAGUGUUGAGUGUAUAUGUAUUUACAGUUGUUAAUCCACUUGUUGGAUUGAUUCCUUUGUCAUUAGAUAAUGACCUCCUUUGUUGCUUUUUAUAGUUUUUUACUUAAAAUCUAUUUUAUCUGAUAAAAUGUCUAGCUCUUUUAUCCUUUCAGGAGUAUGAGUACUCCUGCUCACUUUUGGUAUCUGUUUGCAUGAAAUAUCUUUUUCCAUUCCUUUACUUUCAGUCUAUGCUUGUCUACCAGUGAGGCUAGUCUCUUGUAGGGAGCAUAUAGUUGGGUCUUGUUUUUAAAUCCAUUCAGGAGCUCACUUUAAAUUGGAGAAUUUAAUCCAUUUAUAUUCACGGUUAUUAUUGAUAAGUAGGAUGUACUCCUGCCAUUUGAUUGUUUUCUGGCUGUUUGGUAGAUUCUUUUUUCUUCCUCUCUUACUGCUUACCUUUGGUUCAGUGGUUUU